CGUGAGGGGUGAGGACCAGUGCUACCAAUUAGGAGGGUUGCAAAGUGGGUAAAAUAGCAAUUCCGGGGGAAUGGCAAGUCGUGGCCUUAGGGAAGAAGAAAAAUCAAUUGUGGACAGUGAGCGAGAGACACGUGCUAUUGCGGGAAAAAACAAAAAAAGAGACAAAAUAAGCGGAAGACAAUAUUCAAACACCGGAGUGACGACAGGAGGGUUGGGAUAUACACCAGCGAGGCUUCAUAGGCAGAGGAGUAGCAGUAACUGCGGGCGUUCUGGGAAGUGCGCUGUGCGCGGGUCAGCACCGACCGGCAGUACUGGGUCUUAGGCCGGACCUCGGCCCUAGCGGAAGUCAGGCCAAUUUCCAUGCAACUGGAAGUCUGGGCUAAGUACCCUUCAACAUUAAAAUACUAAAUAUUCACACACAUUCCGCUCAAACAUAGAACCAAAAUUUUAUAUACACCCUACAUACAUAUACAUAGCCAUCUCACAUACACCAGUGCAGCAUAUAACACAAAAUUCAACUAAAUACUCACACAUAUUCCGCUCAAACAUAGAACACAAAAUUUUAUAUACACCACACACUCCUUUAUAUACACUCCAUACAUGUUCACAUACACCAUAUUCAAACACACACCGAAUUUCCAUAGCACUCAGACUCACAUUCAUCCCAUAGCCACAUAAUAUAAAAUACAAAACAAAAACAACACCCAAACAUUUAACCAUAUUGUAAUACACACACGCCCAUAGCCACAUAAUGUAAAAUACAAAACAAAAAAACAACACACAAAACAAUUAACAAUUUUCUGUUAGACACAUAGCCCAAACCAUUCACAACAUAAUAUAAAACAUUAAACAGAAACACAACACCAAACAAGUAACCAUAUUGUAAACAAAAAUUCAAAUGUAUACUUAAGAAAAAAGAACAUAAAAAAAAAAAAAAAAAGAAAAGUAAAAGAAAAUGUAUAAAAACUAAUAUAAGCAAAAGAGGUUGGAAUGUGUAUUGGAGCGGCGCAGUUUUUUUUUGUUUAUCUCCUUGUCAUUACAUAUCAUUACACCCCUCAUAACCACAUACUCGAGUAUAGGUAGGUUAGGAGGUUCGAAAAUCGAAUAAGAUAAAUAGGCACAAAGAGCCAACAAACUGCAGCGUCCCAAAACUCAAUGGCCUAAAUACCCGAAUAUAUUUUUAUUGUAAUAAAAUUUAAAAUUUGAAAAUGAA
This is a long non-coding RNA of Scaptodrosophila lebanonensis, 1213 nucleotides long. RefSeq lists it as uncharacterized. The record is from RefSeq and is a predicted model, not a curated record. The transcript is spliced from 2 exons. Lineage: Eukaryota; Metazoa; Arthropoda; Insecta; Diptera; Drosophilidae.